AUUGAACGCUGGCGGCAUGCUUUACACAUGCAGGUCGAACGGUAACAGGCCGCAAGGUGCUGACGAGUGGCGAACGGGUGAGUAAUGCAUCGGAACGUGCCCAGUCGUGGGGGAUAACUACUCGAAAGAGUAGCUAAUACCGCAUACGAUCUAUGGACGAAAGCGGGGGACCGUAAGGCCUCGCGCGAUUGGAGCGGCCGAUGUCAGAUUAGGUAGUUGGUGGGGUAAAGGCUCACCAAGCCAACGAUCUGUAGCUGGUCUGAGAGGACGACCAGCCACACUGGGACUGAGACACGGCCCAGACUCCUACGGGAGGCAGCAGUGGGGAAUUUUGGACAAUGGGCGCAAGCCUGAUCCAGCAAUGCCGCGUGCAGGAAGAAGGCCUUCGGGUUGUAAACUGCUUUUGUACGGAACGAAACGGCUCUGGUUAAUACCCGGGGCUAAUGACGGUACCGUAAGAAUAAGCACCGGCUAACUACGU
This 481-nucleotide ribosomal RNA is filed under the name uncultured bacterium. RNAcentral's name for it is "partial 16S ribosomal RNA". It matches the Rfam family "Bacterial small subunit ribosomal RNA", at positions 30 to 506 of the family's 1533-position model. The record is from RNAcentral.